This 254-nucleotide ribosomal RNA is filed under the name uncultured bacterium. RNAcentral describes it as "partial 16S ribosomal RNA". It matches the Rfam family "Bacterial small subunit ribosomal RNA", at positions 524 to 776 of the family's 1533-position model. The record is from RNAcentral.
UACGUAGGGGGCGAGCGUUGUCCGGAUUCAUUGGGCGUAAAGAGCUCGUAGGCGGCUUGUCAAGUCGGGUGUGAAACCUCCAGGCUCAACCUGGAGACGCCACUCGAGACUGUCAUGGCUAGAGUCCGGUAGGGGAUCACGGAAUUCCUGGUGUAGCGGUGAAAUGCGCAGAUAUCAGGAGGAACACCGAUGGCGAAGGCGGGUCUCUGGGCCGAUACUGACGCUGAGGCGCGAAAGCUAGGGGAGCAAACAGG